This 278-nucleotide ribosomal RNA is filed under the name uncultured Rikenellaceae bacterium. RNAcentral describes it as "partial 16S ribosomal RNA". It matches the Rfam family "Bacterial small subunit ribosomal RNA", at positions 511 to 788 of the family's 1533-position model. The record is from RNAcentral. Lineage: Bacteria; Pseudomonadati; Bacteroidota; Bacteroidia; Bacteroidales; Rikenellaceae.
GCAGCCGCGGUAAUACGGGGGAUGCGAGCGUUAUCCGGAUUUAUUGGGUUUAAAGGGUGCGUAGGCGGUCCGGUAAGUCAGCGGUGAAAUUUCCGAGCUCAACUUGGAACGUGCCGUUGAUACUGUCGGACUAGAAUGCGGAUGCCGUGGGAGGAAUGUGUGGUGUAGCGGUGAAAUGCAUAGAUAUCACACAGAACACCGAUUGCGAAGGCAUCUCACGAAUCCGCGAUUGACGCUGAGGCACGAAAGCGUGGGGAUCAAACAGGAUUAGAUACCCC